Molecule: ribosomal RNA, 20 nt
Filed under: Heterobasidion annosum
Lineage: Eukaryota; Fungi; Basidiomycota; Agaricomycetes; Russulales; Bondarzewiaceae
Also listed under: 1 other name
Description: partial 28S ribosomal RNA
Source: RNAcentral
CUUGACCUCAAAUCAGGCGG